UUUAUCUCUCAGCUCUUAUCAGCUGACCACCAGCCCAAAACUCACCUGGAUCACCGGAAGUGUUUCUGACUGUCAGAAUAGUUUUGUUUUUACCCCAACAAACUGGACAUGUUUUUCUCUUGACUCGUUUCCUGAAAUGAGCUCAUCCACCGGCCGGUAAAGGUCACGUGAUGUCAGAAUGCCUGGAUCCCCAGCCACUUCAGAGCGCCACCCCAACACCAAGGGACAGGAAGUGAGGGACAUGGAGCUGUUUCUGGAUCUGUCAGAGUCUCCUUUUCUUUCCACCUCGUCUGCAGCUUCGGAGCAGCAAGGGGACGGCAGCUGGAGCCAAGACGGAGACCUGCAGGGAUGUGGACAAUUAGAGAGGAAGUGGGUGCUCUGGCACGAGUUCAUGAAAGAACACGCCCACCUGGACACUUGGCUUCGACUGGCCGAGCAGGCUGUCAGUUCCCCCAACUCUGCCCACGUUACCUGCAUCACUGCCAAGGAAGAACUGAGGAAGUUUGAGAGGCUGCGGUGCGAGGCCGGAUCUCGUCUUGUCCAGUUGGACAGUCUGACCCAGAAGAAUCGGACACUGACUCGGCUGUUUCAAGGCGCCAUGCAGGCGCGGCUGCUGGCGAUGGCAAGGGAGUGUGGGCAACGAUGGGACAAUGUGAACGCCAAACUGGAAUCCAUCACCAGACAACUCAAGCUCUUUGUCUCGGAGUGGGAGGGGUUUGAGGCAGAGAGGGAGGAGCUCACUCUCUGGUUGGCUGACCUGGACGUCCGUCUGACCGAUGUCGAUCACCUGACAGGAAACACCUGCGAAAAGCUGAGACAACUGCAGUCCUUCCAGCAGUGUGUGUGUGUGAACUCCGGCCGUGUGAACGUCCUGCUGCAGCGUGGGGAGGCCUUGAUCCAGCGCAGCCAGCCAACUGAUGCUCAGCAUGUGGAGAGUCGGCUGCUGGAGCUGCUGCGGCGCUGCAGCCUCGUCUACAACAACAUCGCCCGAACACACACGCGGCUGCUGAGCAUGAGACUGGUGUUUGAGGAUGACUGGAUUCUAUCUCAGGCUACAGACUCUGGUUGUCCUUCAGAGACUGUAUUAGAGGAAGAGGGAGUGCUUGAUAAAACCAACCUGGACCUCCCUGCUUUAUCAAACCAUCCAAAAGAUUCCAGCCAAUCGGCUAACCACACCCCGGCCUUCUCCUCUCCCAUUCACCUCCCUCCUCAGUCCUCACCUACCCACGAGCACCUGGGGCUGGAGUGGGACCCCUCGGUUGAUGUUGGUCGCUCUGUUUCCUGUGACGAUGCCGACUCGUCGUAUUUCAGUGUCAGCACAGGUCUGUGUCACAGAGAUGGUGUGAAGAGGCGGAGCUACCUCAGCUCCCUCGGCUCUCUGUCUGACAUCAGCAAUGACAUCAACAACCAGGAAACAGAUCUGCGAUUGGAGGGAUGGCUUGACCACGCCCAGCCCAGUGUCUUCCCUCCAGUCGCAACCCAGAGGGGCGGGACUCAGACAAACAGAGACCAGUGGGCGACCUCAACUCCUGACAGACAGGACGGUGAACCAGUCAGCUUUGACGGUGGGCGCGUGAGGGCGUGGCUGGGAGUCCAGAGUCCCGGCCCUCCAGAAAGGAGGACUUCCUGUUCCAGAGCUGUGCAGACGGACGGGCAGGUGGAGGCUGAAGAAGAGCAGUCCUGUUGUGAGGAAGCUGAGCGUCUUCUCUCCGAACAAAGUAUGACCUCCAGCAGCAGGGCCUCGUCCUCCCUGCUCUGCCCAGCCCUCCUCUACCUCCUUCUGGCUGCAGCUCUGGCUCUCCUGGCCUAUCUGAUCUGGGUCGUCCUGGAGCCGCCGUGUCACCGCAGCAGCAGGAUGCAUCGUAGUUUCCACCUGGCACUGAGAUAUGUCAACGGACCCCCGCCUACCUGAGGACCACCCAGAGACAGUUUGACCGAAGCACUUUCCUCAGGCUCGACAGAACAGAGGCAGCUUUUGGUUUCAGUUCAUUUCUCCAAAGAUCAUCUCAUAGUGACUCAUCUUUCUGCAGAGACAUUAUCACAGCCGAGAUCCAGUCUGUAUUUAUUGUAGUAAAGUUGUGUUGUUGGUGUUUGAUGAUGCGUUUUAAAUGCAGUUAGAUUUUAAAAGCCCUUAGUGCUUUUCCAAAGAACAAUAAAUUCACUGUGACCAAAAUAAAACCAUACAUGAUGGAUUAUUUGCAGCUAGUUUUAGUACAGCAGUAGUGCACAGAGUAUAUCUGAUGAUUAUUAAAGGGGCUAAAACAUGAAAAAGAAACAUGGUUUCUGAAAGGGAAGUUUGAUGGUUUAUCUUUUGUUUGUUUGUGGAGUUCUGACUGAUUUUGUACUUUAACUGUCCACUAAGUGUCAAUAAUGUCACGCUCCAGCAGGAACAAGGUGCUGCCUGCUUUAUUAUUGUGUGUUUAAAGGGACUGAAGAGUUUUGUGUUCCCAGCAUCAUGUAACAGCUGUGAGAGACCACCUGUGUGUGACUGCAGCUCAGUCAGUGACUUGUUAAAACCCAAAUGUCUCAGGGGAAGGUUCUUAAAACAAGUAGAUUUCAGGAGGAUCAAUAGUUGUUAAAGCUGGCGUCCGUGGGCUGUGUCAUGAUGAUGAUGAUGAUGAUGAUGAUGGUGAUGAUGAUGAUAACGUGUUUUGAGCCUUUUGAGGUUGAGAGAAUCAUUGAAAAGGGAACUUUGUAAACCAACUGCCAUCUAAAUAUUUCACUGUUUUUUAGUUGAAGGUUUGUUUUUUUGGUCAUUGUUAAAUAUUUCAAAAACAGAUCCAAUCAGAUGUUCUUGCUUUUGUACUUGUUUGAAGAUGAAUAAAAUGAACUGUAUGAAA
This is a non-coding RNA of Epinephelus lanceolatus (giant grouper), 2840 nucleotides long. The record is from RefSeq and is a predicted model, not a curated record. Lineage: Eukaryota; Metazoa; Chordata; Actinopteri; Perciformes; Serranidae.